Molecule: long non-coding RNA, 902 nt
Organism: Asterias rubens (European starfish)
Lineage: Eukaryota; Metazoa; Echinodermata; Asteroidea; Forcipulatida; Asteriidae
Exons: 4
Source: RefSeq, a predicted model, not a curated record
AGUCAAAAACCUGGCGGACCAGUGAAAAAUCAAGCCAACUGGUCCUGCUGGCCAGUUGAAAAAAAAGUUGAGGGCAACCCCUGUUUGCUCUGCAAAGCAGUUAACACGGACAGUUUGGUGAAAAGUUUUGUGACUGUUAUGAAUCUCCCUGUCAAAAUUCUUUUGUUUUAGGUGUUGUGAUCUUGCUCAUAAGUAUUGAUAUAUCGAUUACUGUUACAGGGCCUUAGCUCAAUUGCUAUGCGCCAAGCAGAGCAAUCACUCAGCGGAGAGCAUUGGGGUGUAUCUACGUAAAUUGAAGCAAGCUAUCUCCACAACGGCAGCUCGAUUCUCUGGAUUUAUGCAACACGAUGCGCAAGAGUUUCUCUGUCAGUGCCUGGAUCAACUCAAAGACGACACCGAAAGGGCCAACAAGAGGGCGCUAAACUCCCCCUUCGACGAGACCCCAGGGACGGAUGAUGAUAAAAUUAAACUGAGGUUUCGCUAUCCGCACGACUGCCCGAUUGUCAAGAACUUUGAAUUUGAAGUCAUGCACUCUACGAUCUCUCGCUGGACAUGCCCAGAAGGAGUCAUUCUAACCCGAUCGGGUCGAUCCAGACGGCGCUGGAGCAGUUCUUCAGAGAGGAGGGUAUAGAGUAUGCCUGCUGAGAAUGUGACUGCAAGCAGGCUAUAGUCACGCAUAAGUUCACUAAGCUACCAAGGGUAAUUAUCAUUCAUCUUAAGCGCUACAAAUUUGAUUUCUGACGCCUUCCAGUACUCCAAGCUCCGUCGCUAUAUCCUCAUACCCAGGUACUUGUCCGUCCACUACCACUGCACCAAGGAAACCCAGAGUCCAACCUCUCUCCCAAAGUCAUUAGUCAACGGGACGUCAUCUCCAAGGCCACAACAACUCAAUGCCGAGAGAA